AGGAUUUCCAUCCCACAGCCCCAGCAUAUCCCCCCACCCCCUGAACUGUCUCCUUUGGAAACCAUAAGUUUUUCAAAGUCUGUGAGUCAGUAUCUGCUCUGCGAAGAAGUUCAGUCUGUCCUUCUUUCAGAUUCCACAUGUCAGUGAAAGCAUUUGAUGUUGGUGUCUCAUUGUAUGUCUGGCUUCACUUAGCAUGAUAAUUUCUAGGUCCACCCAUGUUGCUAAAAAUGCUGGUAUUUCAUUCCUUUUAAUGGCUGAGUAAUAGUCCAUUGUGUAUAUGUACCACCUCUUCUUGAUCCACUCCUCUGUUGAUGGACAUUUAGGGUGUUUCCAUGUCUUGGCUAUUGAAAAUAGUGCUGCAAUGAACACUGGAGUACAUGUGUCUUUGCGAGUCAUGGUUUUCUCUGGAUAGAUGCCCAGGAGUGGGAUUGCUGGGUCAAAUGGUAGUUCUAUGUGUAGUUUUCUGAGGACUCUCCAUACUGUUUUCCACAGUGGUUACACCAAUUUACAAUCCCAUCAACAGUGUCAUAGGGUUCCUUUUUCUCCACACCCUCUCCAGCACUUACUGUUUGUAGACUUUUAGAUGAUGGCCAUUCUGGCUGGUGUAAGGUGGUACCUCAUAGUGGUUUGGAUUUGCAUUUCUCUAAUAAUGAGUGAUGUUGAACAUCUUUUCAUGUGUUUUUUGGCCAUCUGCAUGUCUUCUUUGGAGAACUGUCUGUUUAGAUCUUCUGCCCAUUUUUUGAUGGGGUUGUUUGUUUUUUUGGUAUUGAGUUGCAGAAGUUGUUUAUAAAUUUUGGAGAUUAAUCCCUUGUCCGUUGAUUCAUUUGCAAAGAUUUCUCUCCCAUUCUGCGGGUUGUCUUUUUGUUUUGUUUAGGGGUUUCCUUUGCUGUGCAGAAACUUUUCAGUUUGAUUAGGUCCCAUUUGUUUAUUUCUGUUUUUAUUGUUAAUACUCUAAGAAGUGGAUCUAAGAAGAUGUUGCUGUCAUUUAUGUCAGAGAGUGUUUGGCCUGUGUUUUCCUCUAAGAGUUUGAUAGUGUCUGGUCUUAUAUCUAGGUCUUUAAUCCUUUUGGAGUUUUUUUUUGUGUCUGGUGUUAGGGAGUGUUCUAAUUUCAUUCUUUUCCAUGUGGCUGUCCAGUUUUCCCAGCACCACUUAUUAAACAAGCUGUCCUUUCUCCAUGGUAUAACCUUGCCUUCUUUGUCAUAGAUUAGUUGGCUGUAGGUGCGUGGAUUGAAUUCUGGGCUUUUUAUCCUGUUCCACUGAUCUAUAUUUUUCUUUGUGCCAGUACCAUACAGUUUUGAUGAUUGUUGCUUUGUAGUAUAGCCUGAAGUCCGGGAGCCUGAUUCCUCCAGCUCCAUUUUUCUUUUUCAGGAUGUCUUUGGCUAUUCUGGGUCUUUUGUGCUUCCGAACAAACUUUAAGAUAUUUUGUUCGAGUUCUGUGAAAAAUGUCCUUGGUAACUAAAAUUCAUUUUACUGACGCUUUAAAGUUUCUGCCAAGGCCUGACCAUAAUCUUUUCCUUGUACUAUCAUUAGAGUUGUUCCUCAGAGCUAAUAAAACUUUUCUUUUAAACAAACCAUCCCUCUUGAGAGGAUUAAAUCAAUGCUGUAGAGUGAAGGAUGGGUUGGUUUGACCAAAGUGGCUUGGGAAAACAAGAGAAGGAAGGGGUUUGAUGGUGGAAAAGAACAGGAAUCUUUGUUACUACCUGGAAAAGCUGGCCUGCUUGGGUGUGGGACUGCAUGAAAACACUCCGAGAAGAGUGGAACCAAGACCCCCGAGAUACUCUGCUUUCAUUUCUGGAUUUUGUCUUGGGUGGGUAGUGACAGUGAACCAGGGAGCUGGCCCUUAGAGGGUAUCAGGUCCUCCUCCUAAAGCAGCUCCUGUGGUCUUUCAUCCUGGUUCCUUCACUGACUGUGGUCACUCAGUUCAUUUCAGUUUCCAUCUGACCAGAGCUUUGUCCUCAUCUGUGCAGUGAAGGCUUUGGACCUCUUGAUCUCCAUGGCUUAUUUCAGCUCUAGGUACAUGCUUCUAGGUGGGAUCCUUUGCAGCUAACAGGUCCAGGUGAUGCCAGGGACGUCCAGACCAGAUGUUUGGAAUAGUUCUCUUCAUCACAAAUGAUAAAGGGACAUCCUGAUAAAAGAAAGGGUAAACAAAAAAGAGGCUGGCUUGGUGUUCCUUGCUGCAAGCAGAGUUUUCAUCAUGGUGAGUGAAGUGGG
This 2211-nucleotide long non-coding RNA is filed under the name Sus scrofa (pig). RNAcentral's name for it is "lncRNA (ENSSSCG00045002681.1)". The record is from RNAcentral. Lineage: Eukaryota; Metazoa; Chordata; Mammalia; Artiodactyla; Suidae.